UAGAACUCGCGACAACUCAUCACAUCUCCUGCAUGCAACACAGACACUUUAAUUAAGCCAGAGUCCU
RNAcentral lists this transfer RNA (67 nucleotides) under Rena humilis (western threadsnake). RNAcentral describes it as "tRNA-Ala". The record is from RNAcentral. Lineage: Eukaryota; Metazoa; Chordata; Lepidosauria; Squamata; Leptotyphlopidae.